RNAcentral lists this unclassified non-coding RNA (273 nucleotides) under Hyaloscyphaceae sp. RNAcentral describes it as "partial contains internal transcribed spacer 1". The record is from RNAcentral. Lineage: Eukaryota; Fungi; Ascomycota; Leotiomycetes; Helotiales; Hyaloscyphaceae.
AAGUCGUAACAAGGUUACCUUCUGCAGCGCAGCUCCGGAGACCUUGCAACCCCACGGGGAGGCAGCACGACAGUAAAUAAAGCUACCGCUUGCAAGUUGGCCAAUGCCAGCGACACGAUCGAAUUGCGGGGACCUCCUAAAGCCUGUAACACCAACCGUCCGGGGAAACUCGGGCGGGGCCCUCACGGGGUGGUAAGAGAGUACAGGAUGUAACAAUGGACAAUCCGCAGCGAAGACCCUACCGGCUCCGGCCUACGGGUACCGUUCACAGAC